Molecule: long non-coding RNA, 1394 nt
Organism: Micropterus dolomieu (smallmouth bass)
Lineage: Eukaryota; Metazoa; Chordata; Actinopteri; Centrarchiformes; Centrarchidae
Exons: 4
Source: RefSeq, a predicted model, not a curated record
AACACGUUUGUCCGUUCAAUAUGAAGCUACAGCCCAUUAGCUUAGCAUUUAAGUGUGGAAUUAACACGUUAUCACGUUUGUUAAAUCUGUAUAAUAUUUGAACUAAAUUAUGCUAAAGCCGUGUCCUGGCUCAUAGCUUCAUAUUUAAUGGACAGAUUUGAGAGUGGUAGCAGUCUUCUCAGCUAAUUCGGCAGCAAAGCUAACAACCUUAUUUCCCAAAAUGUCGAACUCUUCCUUCAGUAACGUUAAGUUACACAGAGGACACUGUUGCUCCAAAAACUAACACCAGCCCCUGCAGCCAUGUUGGGAUCAACAGCUCCCAAUUCCCUGGGCCAUGCUGUUAACUCUCAUCCUGCUUCCAGGACUGAAUCAUUUUUUGCGUCAGUGUCGAUGGGAGUCAUUAGAAGGGUCGGGCUCUCCUCUCGACUGAUGAAGAGCGGCUGCAGCAGGAGAGGGACCAGGGGAGCAGGAGGAGGACAGACUCCGGCACGCUAACAACCACAACCAUCAUCAUCAUCACCAUCGCCACGCGUACCUGCUGCUCCGGGGAGACGCUGCCUCCUGUCAAACAGCGGAAGGACCCUGGUUCACCUGCAAUGCUAAGUUGUGUGCGUGGGUGUAACUGUAUGUGACUGCAUCUGUUUGUGUGUGUGUGUGUGUGUGUGUGUGUGUGUGUGCAUGGGAAUACGUGUGUAUGUGUGCAUCCCGCUGUCUACAUAAUUCCCUGCCAGUCUCGGCUCACUCUUUGGCUUUGACUGUUCACUCCUCUUUCUCUUCCUUCACCUCACCCCUCUGUCUCCCCCCCUCCUCCUUUUCUCACUGUAUCACUCCAUAUAUUCAUGAAUUUCCUGUUUAUCAUGACAACUUAUGCAUGAAAAUAGAGGGUGGGAUGGGAAAAAACAAAAAAACAAACAGGGUGAAUGUUGAUGGGGGUUUUGUCUCGUCCGGGUGCAGAGCUGCACAGGCAGCCCAGUCCUCAGGGGACGUAUGCAAGAAGACCCUGAUUCCAUCUCCCUUUUCUUUUCUUUCUGUAUCUUUUCUUUUCUCUCUGUCCUUCCAUCCACCCACCAACCGCCUUCCAUCUUUCCCUCCUAACAUGCGUCCCCCCUUGCUUUCCUCCCCCCAGUCCCCCACCUACCCGCUGCCUUUCUCUUCUCGUCUCUCCUUCACAGUGUCAAAGCCAGUUACAGGCAGAGGAGCUCUCCUUCUUAAAUAAUUCACAAGUUGAUUAAUAGACUCACAAGGGUAUAAUUAGGCAGGGGAGAGAUGGUGGCUAGUGUAACCAGUACAGUGCUUAGGGGAAUUAGAGAGCGGGGUUAUUGAGGAAAUGGAGAGUACCAGUAAAAAAAUAAAUAAAUAAAAUCAAAUAAAACGUGGCGGCUGAAGUGGUGGAC